Molecule: ribosomal RNA, 1356 nt
Filed under: uncultured bacterium
Lineage: Bacteria
Description: bacterial SSU rRNA
Rfam family: Bacterial small subunit ribosomal RNA
Source: RNAcentral
AUUGAACGCUGGCGGUAGGCUUAACACAUGCAAGUCGUGCGAGAAAGUAUCUUCGGAUAUGAGUAGAGCGGCGGACGGGUGAGUAACGCGUAGGAAUCUACCUAGUAGAAGGGGAUAGCCCGGGGAAACUCGGAUUAAUACCGUAUACCUCCUUCGGGAGAAAGAAGGCCUCUCUUUGAAGCUUUCGCUAUUAGAUGAGCCUGCGUAAGAUUAGCUUGUUGGUGAGGUAAAGGCUCACCAAGGCAACGAUCUUUAGCGGGUCUGAGAGGACGAUCCGCCACAUUGGGACUGAGACACGGCCCAGACUCCUACGGGAGGCAGCAGUGGGGAAUAUUGGACAAUGGGCGCAAGCCUGAUCCAGCCAUACCGCGUGUGUGAAGAAGGCCCUAGGGUUGUAAAGCACUUUAAGUUGGGAAGAAAAGUUAUUGGUUAAUACCCAAUAACCGUGACAUUACCAUCAGAAUAAGGACCGGCUAAUUCCGUGCCAGCAGCCGCGGUAAUACGGAAGGUCCAAGCGUUAAUCGGAAUUACUGGGCGUAAAGCGCGCGUAGGUGGUUUAUUAAGUUGGAUGUGAAAUCCCCGGGCUCAACCUGGGAACUGCAUCCAAAACUGAUUCACUAGAGUACGAUAGAGGGAGGUAGAAUUCACAGUGUAGCGGUGGAAUGCGUAGAUAUUGUGAAGAAUACCAAUGGCGAAGGCAGCCUCCUGGAUCUGUACUGACACUGAGGUGCGAAAGCGUGGGUAGCGAACAGGAUUAGAUACCCUGGUAGUCCACGCCGUAAACGAUGUCAACUAGCUGUUGGAAAACUAUGUUUUUCAGUGGCGCAGCUAACGUAGUAAGUUGACCGCCUGGGGAGUACGGCCGCAAGGCUAAAACUCAAAUGAAUUGACGGGGACCCGCACAAGCGGUGGAGCAUGUGGUUUAAUUCGAUGCAACGCGAAAAACCUUACCUAUACUUGACAUACUUGGAAUGCUUUGUAAUGAAGCAGUGCCUUCGGGAGCCAAGAUACAGGUGCUGCAUGGCUGUCGUCAGCUCGUGUCGUGAGAUGUUCCGUUAAGUCGGAUAACGAGCGCAACCCUUACCCUUAUUUGCCAGCGAUUCGGUCGGGAACUAUAAGGGGACUGCCGGUGAUAAACCGGAGGAAGGUGAGGACGACGUCAAGUCAUCAUGGCCCUUACGUAUAGGGCUACACACGUGCUACAAUGGAGAAUACAGACGGACGCUAAGCCGCGAGGUGGUGCUAAUCCUAGAAAAUUCUUCGUAGUCCGGAUUGGAGUCUGCAACUCGACUCCAUGAAGUCGGAAUCGCUAGUAAUCGCGAAUCAGCAUGUCGCGGUGAAUACGUUCUCGGGUCU